GACGAACGCUGGCGGCGUGCUUAACACAUGCAAGUCGAACGGAAAGGCCCUGCUUUUUUGGGGUGCUCGAGUGGCGAACGGGUGAGUAACACGUGAGUAACCUUCCCUUUACUUUGGGAUAACUUCAGGAAACUGGGGCUAAUACCGGAUAGGAGCUCCUGCUGCAUGGUGGGGGUUGGAAAGUUUCGGCGGUUGGGGAUGGACUCGCGGCUUAUCAGUUUGUUGGUGGGGUAGUGGCUUACCAAGGCUUUGACGGGUAGCCGGCCUGAGAGGGUGACCGGCCACAAUGGGACUGAGAUACGGCCCAGACUCCUACGGGAGGCAGCAGUGGGGAAUAUUGCACAAUGGGCGGAAGCGUGAUGCAGCAACGCAGCGUGCGGGAUGAAGGCGUUCGGGUUGUAAACCGCUUUCGCCUGUGACGAAGCGGUAGUGACGGUAAUGGGUAAAGAAGCACCGGCUAACUACGUG
Molecule: ribosomal RNA, 468 nt
Filed under: uncultured bacterium
Lineage: Bacteria
Description: partial 16S ribosomal RNA
Rfam family: Bacterial small subunit ribosomal RNA
Source: RNAcentral